CAAAACGGAAUAGCGCCAGAUCUGUCUUAACAGAUGACGAGGAUGAAGCUUAUCGAAAUAUUCGGCGGAUGGCUUCAGGGACUGCACCCUAUAGGUAAAUUACAAAUCCACUUGCGAAAGUGCUACAAAAGAUUUACCAGCAGAUAGA
Enterococcus aquimarinus is the source of this 148-nucleotide regulatory RNA element. It matches the Rfam family "glmS glucosamine-6-phosphate activated ribozyme aptamer". Rfam says of the family: This entry contains a glucosamine-6-phosphate activated ribozyme that is found in the mRNA for GlmS. GlmS is an enzyme that uses fructose-6-phosphate and glutamine to generate glucosamine-6-phosphate. The ribozyme catalyses self cleavage of the glmS mRNA that is thought to regulate GlmS activity. The record is from Rfam. NCBI's taxonomy places the organism in Bacteria, Bacillati, Bacillota, Bacilli, Lactobacillales, Enterococcaceae.